Molecule: ribosomal RNA, 440 nt
Filed under: uncultured bacterium
Lineage: Bacteria
Description: bacterial SSU rRNA
Rfam family: Bacterial small subunit ribosomal RNA
Source: RNAcentral
AACGCGAAGAACCUUACCUACCCUUGACAUCCAGAGGAGACAGCAGAGAUGUUGUUGUGCCGAAAGGAACUCUGAGACAGGUGCUGCAUGGCUGUCGUCAGCUCGUGUUGUGAGAUGUUGGGUUAAGUCCCGUAACGAGCGCAACCCUUAUCCUUAGUUACCAGCACGUUAAGGUGGGAACUCUAAGGAGACUGCCGGUGAUGAACCGGAGGAAGGCGGGGACGACGUCAAGUCAUCAUGGCCUUUAUGGGUAGGGCUACACACGUGCUACAAUGGUCGGUACAGAGGGCAGCGAAAGCGCGAGCUGGAGCCAAUCCCGGAAAGCCGAUCGUAGUCCGGAUCGGAGUCUGCAACUCGACUCCGUGAAGUCGGAAUCGCUAGUAAUCGCGAAUCAGAAUGUCGCGGUGAAUACGUUCCCGGGCCUUGUACACACCGACAUA